CGAACGCUGGCGGCGUGCUAACACAUGCAAGUCGAACGCGAAAGGGACUUCGGUCCUGAGUAAAGUGGCGCACGGGUGAGUAACGCGUAGAUAACCUGUCUUCAUGUCUGGAAUAAUACGCCGAAAGGGGUACUAAUACCGGAUAUUCUUGCUUUUCAUAAGUUAUGCAAGCAAAGGUGGCCUCUGCAUAUGCUACUGCAUGAAGAGGGGUCUGCGUACCAUUAGCUAGUAGGUGGGGUAAUGGCCUACCUAGGCGACGAUGGUUAGCGGGUCUGAGAGGAUGAUCCGCCACACUGGCACUGGAACACGGGCCAGACUCCUACGGGAGGCAGCAGUGAGGAAUAUUGCGCAAUGGGGAAACCCUGACGCAGUGACGCCGCGUGAGUGAGGAAGGCCUUCGGGUCGUAAAGCUCUGUCAAGAGGAAAGAAGUGUACAAUGGCUAAUACCUGUUGUAUUUGACGGUACCUCUAAAGGAAGCACCGGCUAACUCCGUGCCAGCAGCCGC
RNAcentral lists this ribosomal RNA (506 nucleotides) under uncultured bacterium. Its description in RNAcentral is "bacterial SSU rRNA". It matches the Rfam family "Bacterial small subunit ribosomal RNA", at positions 30 to 518 of the family's 1533-position model. The record is from RNAcentral.